RNAcentral lists this ribosomal RNA (695 nucleotides) under uncultured Bacteroidales bacterium. RNAcentral's name for it is "bacterial SSU rRNA". It matches the Rfam family "Bacterial small subunit ribosomal RNA", at positions 62 to 745 of the family's 1533-position model. The record is from RNAcentral. Lineage: Bacteria; Pseudomonadati; Bacteroidota; Bacteroidia; Bacteroidales.
UCGAGGGGCAGCAUGAUUUGUAGCAAUACAGAUUGAUGGCGACCGGCGCACGGGUGAGUAACGCGUAUGCAACUUACCUAUCAGAGGGGGAUAGCCCGGCGAAAGUCGGAUUAAUACCCCAUAAAACAGGGGUCCCGCAUGGGAAUAUUUGUUAAAGAUUCAUCGCUGAUAGAUAGGCAUGCGUUCCAUUAGGCAGUUGGCGGGGUAACGGCCCACCAAACCGACGAUGGAUAGGGGUUCUGAGAGGAAGGUCCCCCACAUUGGUACUGAGACACGGACCAAACUCCUACGGGAGGCAGCAGUGAGGAAUAUUGGUCAAUGGCCGAGAGGCUGAACCAGCCAAGUCGCGUGAAGGAAGAAGGAUCUAUGGUUUGUAAACUUCUUUUAUAGGGGAAUAAAGUGGAGGACGUGUCCUUUUUUGUAUGUACCCUAUGAAUAAGCAUCGGCUAACUCCGUGCCAGCAGCCGCGGUAAUACGGAGGAUGCGAGCGUUAUCCGGAUUUAUUGGGUUUAAAGGGUGCGUAGGUGGUGAUUUAAGUCAGCGGUGAAAGUUUGUGGCUCAACCAUAAAAUUGCCGUUGAAACUGGGUUACUUGAGUGUGUUUGAGGUAGGCGGAAUGCGUGGUGUAGCGGUGAAAUGCAUAGAUAUCACGCAGAACUCCGAUUGCGAAGGCAGCUUACUAAACCAUAACUGACA